CCUACGGGUGGCAGCAGUGAGGAAUAUUGGUCAAUGGCCGGAAGGCUGAACCAGCCAUGCCGCGUGAAGGUCAGUGCCCUAUGGGCGUUAAACUUCUUUUGUGCGGGAGCAAUAAUGGUCACGUGUGGCCAGACGAGAGUACCGUACGAAUAAGCAUCGGCUAACUCCGUGCCAGCAGCCGCGGUAAUACGGGGGAUGCAAGCGGUAUCCGGAUUUAUUGGGGUUAAAGGGGGCGUAGGCUGUGAGGUAAGUCAGCGGUGAAAUGCCCCCGAUCAACGGGGUGAAGUGCCAUUGAUACUGCCUAGCUUGAAUGCGGAUGCCGUGGGAGGAAUGUGUGGUGUAGCGGUGAAAUGCAUAGAUAUCACACAGAACACCGAUUGCGAAGGCAUCUCACGAAUCCGCGAUUGACGCUGAUGCACGAAAGCGUGGGUAUCAAACAGGAUUAGAUACCCGUGUAGUC
This 460-nucleotide ribosomal RNA is filed under the name uncultured bacterium. Its description in RNAcentral is "partial 16S ribosomal RNA". It matches the Rfam family "Bacterial small subunit ribosomal RNA", at positions 338 to 795 of the family's 1533-position model. The record is from RNAcentral.